This is a long non-coding RNA of Physeter macrocephalus (sperm whale), 502 nucleotides long. RefSeq lists it as uncharacterized. The record is from RefSeq and is a predicted model, not a curated record. The transcript has 3 exons. NCBI's taxonomy places the organism in Eukaryota, Metazoa, Chordata, Mammalia, Artiodactyla, Physeteridae.
UGAGAAGGUGUGUGCACCCGUACAAAGCGUAUGUGGGAGGCUCCUAGAGAGAGAAGAAAUCUUGAAAGUGCCUCACCUAAUGAAAGGAUUGCUGGAGAAGGGACUAAAAGACGAAGAAGACCUACUUCUGCUCCAGAACGUUCUUUUACAAUGUGACUGCUGUUACAGAAUUAACUGAUAGUCCAGGAAAAGCACCUAGAACCGCGCUUGGGACAGAGUAAACAGUCAAUAAACAUUAGUUAUUAUUAUUUUUAACAAAUGGUUAGGGGAAGAAUUUCUUCAAAGACAUCCAGGAGAGAGAAGUUUGACUAGACCCAAAGACCUAUACUCAAAACGUCUGAGUGACACGAGGGAAAAUGAAUUUUUGGGACCCCAGAGCUAUCGUUCAGGACUUGCCAAACAAGGAAAGGCUCUGCGAGGACAGAGAGAGAAGACAACCAACUGCAAGCCAGAAGGAGAGCCCUUGCCUGAAACUGAAUUGGCCGAAACCUUGAUCUUAGAC